CAGCCGCCACGGUAAUACGUAGGGUGCAAGCGUUAAUCGGAAUUACUGGGCGUAAAGCGUGCGCAGGCGGUUAUAUAAGACAGAUGUGAAAUCCCCGGGCUCAACCUGGGAACUGCAUUUGUGACUGUAUAGCUAGAGUACGGCAGAGGGGGAUGGAAUUCCGCGUGUAGCAGUGAAAUGCGUUGAUAUGCGGAGGAACACCGAUGGCGAAGGCAAUCCCCUGGGCCUGUACUGACGCUCAUGCACGAAAGCGUGGGGAGCAAACAGGAUUAGAUACCCCGGUAGUCCCUGUCUCUUAUAC
This 301-nucleotide ribosomal RNA is filed under the name uncultured bacterium. RNAcentral describes it as "partial 16S ribosomal RNA". It matches the Rfam family "Bacterial small subunit ribosomal RNA", at positions 509 to 807 of the family's 1533-position model. The record is from RNAcentral.